RNAcentral lists this transfer RNA (73 nucleotides) under Ailuropoda melanoleuca (giant panda). It matches the Rfam family "tRNA". Rfam says of the family: Transfer RNA (tRNA) molecules are approximately 80 nucleotides in length. Their secondary structure includes four short double-helical elements and three loops (D, anti-codon, and T loops). The record is from Rfam by way of RNAcentral. Lineage: Eukaryota; Metazoa; Chordata; Mammalia; Carnivora; Ursidae.
ACUUGGCUGGCUCAGUUGGUAGAGCAUGUGACUCUUGAUCUUGGGGUCAUGAGUUUGAGCCUCAUGUUGGGUG